RNAcentral lists this transfer RNA (83 nucleotides) under Delitschia confertaspora ATCC 74209. RNAcentral describes it as "tRNA-Asn". The record is from RNAcentral. Lineage: Eukaryota; Fungi; Ascomycota; Dothideomycetes; Pleosporales; Delitschiaceae.
UCCUCCGUGGCGCAAUUGGCUAGCGCGUUCGACUGUUACCUACGGUCAUCGAGAGGUUGGUGGUUCGAGCCCACCCGGGGGAG